RNAcentral lists this ribosomal RNA (485 nucleotides) under uncultured bacterium. Its description in RNAcentral is "partial 16S ribosomal RNA". It matches the Rfam family "Bacterial small subunit ribosomal RNA", at positions 29 to 523 of the family's 1533-position model. The record is from RNAcentral.
AGUGAACGCUGGCGGCGUGCUUAACACAUGCAAGUCGAACGAGAACGGAAUAUAGCUUGCUAUAUUUGUCAGCUAAGUGGCGCACGGGUGAGUAAUGUAUAGAUAACCUGCCCUUAAGAAAGGAAUAACAGUUGGAAACGACUGCUAAUGCCCUAUAUGCCUUUAAUACAUAAGUAUGCAAGGGAAACGCUUUAGUGCUUAAGGAUGGGUCUGUAUGGUAUCAGCUUGUUGGUGGGGUAAUGGCUCACCAAGGCUAUGACGCCUAACUGGUUUGAGAGGAUGAUCAGUCACACUGGAACUGAGACACGGUCCAGACUCUUACGGGAGGCAGCUGUGGGGAAUAUUGCACAAUGGACGAAAGUCUGAUGCAGCAACGCCGCGUGGAGGAUGACACAUUUCGGUGCGUAAACUCCUUUUAUAUAGGAAGAUAAUGACGGUACUAUAUGAAUAAGCACCGGCUAACUCCGUGCCAGCCGCCGCAGUAA